GCGCCCAUAGCGCAGCUGGUAGCGUUGCUGCCUGUCAUGCGGAAGGUCCCAGGUUCGAGUCCAGGCGGUGGCA
RNAcentral lists this transfer RNA (73 nucleotides) under Caenorhabditis japonica. It matches the Rfam family "tRNA". Rfam says of the family: Transfer RNA (tRNA) molecules are approximately 80 nucleotides in length. Lineage: Eukaryota; Metazoa; Nematoda; Chromadorea; Rhabditida; Rhabditidae. The record is from Rfam by way of RNAcentral.